Molecule: small RNA, 78 nt
Filed under: Flavobacterium aquicola
Lineage: Bacteria; Pseudomonadati; Bacteroidota; Flavobacteriia; Flavobacteriales; Flavobacteriaceae
Description: Flavo-1 RNA
Rfam family: Flavo-1 RNA
Source: RNAcentral
UGUUAGCCCCGAUUGAACCGGAAAUCCUUAUAAGCCGGGGUUCGACUUAUAAGAUUGAAGCGAAAAGCGGGACGAUAC